AUGACUACGAUGAUUCACCUGUGUAUGACGACGGGGAGACCUCGGCAGGCUGCAGACGUGGCCCAGCCAAUGGGGGGUGUCUCUGUGUUCGCCAUCUCCUUCCUCCUGCUGCCGUUGGUCUUGCUGGCGUGCACCUGCUGCAGCAGCAGAAAGUCCAGAAGUUCAGCUGUUGACACGAAGCAGGUGCCGCAUGCACAGCACAUCUUACAGUCGGCAGACUCAGCAGAAGCCGAGGGGUCCGGGGAAGACGAGGGCGUCACGGCAACCAAGCUACAGUGUCAACAAAUGGAUCUGCUGGGAGUGCAGCAAGGAGAGGAGCUGCAGAGAUCUGUGGCCCUGGCAGCCAGGCGGCUGCCCUCUCUACCCAGGCCCAGCGUAAGCUCUGCCGUGUACGACAUCGUGGAGGACAUGAGGGACGGGCGGCCUCCUGCAGAGCCCAGAACAGCCCUCGGGAAGACCUCCAGCUAUGGUACCGUGUACGCUGAUCUGCGGGAGAUGGACGAGAAGAGCUGUGGGACGGGAGCUGUGGGAGAUGCGUCCGGCGAUGUCCAGAACCCAGCUGGAGAGCAGGACUUCCCCGUGUAUGCCAUAGUGAAGAAGGGUGGUGUCCGGCAGGUCCAGUCGGAGCUCGUCCUGUAGAGCACUCGGAGGGACACGUCCUAGAGGACAAUCCAGACUGACUGUGGACAAACACAUAUUUUGUGAGGAAAAGUGUUGUCACAUUUACCGAAGCGAUCAGGCCAAAUGUUUUCCUUGAGAGUUCAGCGUAAAUCAGUUCUCCUCCCCAGUUUUGAAUAAAAGCCAUUUGUGUCCCUAGAACCA
Molecule: long non-coding RNA, 822 nt
Filed under: Scleropages formosus (Asian bonytongue)
Lineage: Eukaryota; Metazoa; Chordata; Actinopteri; Osteoglossiformes; Osteoglossidae
Description: lncRNA (ENSSFOG00015033299.1)
Source: RNAcentral